GAUGAACGCUGGCGGCGUGCCUAAUACAUGCAAGUCGAGCGAACAGACGAGGAGCUUGCUCCUCUGACGUUAGCGGCGGACGGGUGAGUAACACGUGGAUAACCUACCUAUAAGACUGGGAUAACUUCGGGAAACCGGAGCUAAUACCGGAUAAUAUAUUGAACCGCAUGGUUCAAUAGUGAAAGACGGUUUUGCUGUCACUUAUAGAUGGAUCCGCGCCGCAUUAGCUAGUUGGUAAGGUAACGGCUUACCAAGGCAACGAUGCGUAGCCGACCUGAGAGGGUGAUAGGCCACACUGGAACUGAGACACGGUCCAGACUCCUACGGGAGGCAGCAGUAGGGAAUCGUCCGCAAUGGGCGAAAGCUUGACGGAGCAACGCCGCGUGAGUGAUGAAGGUCUUCGGAUCGUAAAACUCUGUUAUUAGGGAAGAACAAAUGUGUAAGUAACUAUGCACGUCUUGACGGUACCUAAUCAGAAAGCCACGGCUAACUACGUG
Molecule: ribosomal RNA, 497 nt
Filed under: uncultured bacterium
Lineage: Bacteria
Description: partial 16S ribosomal RNA
Rfam family: Bacterial small subunit ribosomal RNA
Source: RNAcentral